GGAGAAAGCAGGGGAUCGCAAGACCUUGCGCUUUUGGAGCGGCCGAUGUCUGAUUAGCUUGUUGGUAAGGUAAAAGCUUACCAAGGCUUCGAUCAGUAGCUGGUCUGAGAGGACGACCAGCCACACUGGGACUGAGACACGGCCCAGACUCCUACGGGAGGCAGCAGUGGGGAAUUUUGGACAAUGGGGGCAACCCUGAUCCAGCCAUGCCGCGUGAGUGAAGAAGGCCUUCGGGUUGUAAAGCUCUUUCAGCCGGAACGAAACGGUUACGGUUAAUACCCGUGACUACUGACGGUACCGGAAGAAGAAGCACCGGCUAACUACGUGCCAGCAGCCGCGGUAAUACGUAGGGUGCGAGCGUUAAUCGGAAUUACUGGGCGUAAAGCGUGCGCAGGUGGUUUUGUAAGUCAGAUGUGAAAUCCCCGGGCUCAACCUGGGAACUGCGUUUGAAACUACAAAGCUAG
Molecule: ribosomal RNA, 464 nt
Filed under: uncultured bacterium
Lineage: Bacteria
Description: bacterial SSU rRNA
Rfam family: Bacterial small subunit ribosomal RNA
Source: RNAcentral